CCUCUCCCUUACAUGUCCAGGAGUUGGACAUCAGAAUUUUUGCAUGCCCAAGAGUUGGGCACAUGCCAAGGGAAGGGAAGAAAAAGCGAAGGUGCUGAUUUUCUUGAGAAGAAAAUCAAGGAAGAUUGAGGUGCUAGAUUUCAUACUAAUUUUUUUGAGAAAGAAAUCAAGAAAAGGGUUGGAUUUUCUUAUGAAGAAAAUCAAGAAAGACUGAGGAUGGAUCUCCUUGAGAAGAAAAUCAAGAAAGGAUCAAAAAGAGUUCUUGAUCCAUUCGUGUGUGGAGCAUGAUCUGCAAAGAGAGAAGGCUGAAAUCCUUGAGAAGGAUUUUCAGUAAAGAUAGAAAGAAAUCUACCAUCAAAGAGGAUCUCUGCAUGAAAACUAGCACCCCAGUGAGAUUAGAUACUUUGAUUAGACAACAACUUUAUGUGGAUACCUGUAAAGGUUGGAUGUAUGUGCGACUUCAAAUGAAUCAUGAAGACAUCUACGAUCAUCGAAUUGUGGUGAAGAACUAUCUGCAUAAUGGUGAAGAUCUGAUCUUCUUCUUUCAAUCUUAAUCUUAACGACUAUGAGGGAUCAAGGGUUGAUCGUGGUG
RNAcentral lists this long non-coding RNA (592 nucleotides) under Elaeis guineensis (African oil palm). RNAcentral describes it as "long non-coding RNA (EGUI_LNC008106)". Lineage: Eukaryota; Viridiplantae; Streptophyta; Magnoliopsida; Arecales; Arecaceae. The record is from RNAcentral.